This 387-nucleotide unclassified non-coding RNA is filed under the name soil metagenome. Its description in RNAcentral is "partial contains 5.8S ribosomal RNA, internal transcribed spacer 2, and large subunit ribosomal RNA". The stretch from base 1 to 120 matches the Rfam family "5.8S ribosomal RNA", at positions 35 to 154 of the family's 154-position model. The record is from RNAcentral.
GAUGAAGAACGUAGCGAAAUGCGAUAAGUAAUGUGAAUUGCAGAAUUCAGUUAAUCAUCGAAUCUUUGAACGCACCUUGCACCCUUUGGCAUUCCGAAGGGUAUGCUCGUUUGAGUGUCAUUGUACUCUCACACUCUCCGAUCCUAUGGAUUCGGGGAGCGGUGGACUUGGGUGUUGCUGCCUUUCCUUGUGGCUCACCUCAAAUGUGUCAGUGCACCUCUUGGUUGGACAUAGUACGGCGUGAUAAGUGUCUUCGCCGGCACCUCGCAAGAGGGUGGCCGAUCGGGAGCUCUGUGCUUUCAAACCGUCUUCGGACAAUUUCUGACAACUUGACCUCAAAUCGAGUAGGACUACCCGCUGAACUUAAGCAUAUCAAUAAGCGGAGGA